GACGAACGCUGGCGGCGUGCCUAAUACAUGCAAGUCGAACGAAGCUGUUUUAACUGGUGCUUGCACCGACUUAAACAACUGAGUGGCGAACGGGUGAGUAACACGUGGGUAACCUGCCCCAAAGCGGGGGAUAACAUUUGGAAACAGAUGCUAAUACCGCAUAACCACAGAAACCACAUGGUUUCUGUGUCAAAGAUGGUUUCGGCUAUCACUUUGGGAUGGACCCGCGGCGUAUUAGCUAGUUGGUAAGGUAAUGGCUUACCAAGGCAAUGAUACGUAGCCGAACUGAGAGGGUGAUCGGCCACAUUGGGACUGAGACACGGCACAAACUCCUCCGGGAGGCAGCAGUAGGGAAUCUUCCACAAUGGACGAAAGUCUGAUGGAGCAACGCCGCGUGAGUGAAGAAGGUUUUCGGAUCGUAAAACUCUGUUGUCAGAGAAGAACGUGUGCGAGAGUAACUGCUCGUGCAGUGACGGUAUCUGGCCAGAAAGCCACGGCUAACUACGUGCCAGCCGCCGCCGUAA
Molecule: ribosomal RNA, 524 nt
Filed under: uncultured bacterium
Lineage: Bacteria
Description: partial 16S ribosomal RNA
Rfam family: Bacterial small subunit ribosomal RNA
Source: RNAcentral